CCUACGGGAGGCAGCAGUGAGGAAUAUUGGUCAAUGGGCGCGAGCCUGAACCAGCCAAGUCGCGUGAGGGAGGACGGCCCUACGGGUUGUAAACCUCUUUUGCCGGGGAGCAACGGGCGUCACGUGUGGCGCCACUGAGAGUACCCGGAGAAAAAGCAUCGGCUAACUCGGUGCCAGCAGCCGCGGUAAUACGGGGGAUGCGAGCGUUAUCCGGAUUGAUUGGGUUUAAAGGGUGCGUAGGCGGACCGUUAAGUCAGUGGUCAAAUGGAGGGGCUCAACCCCUUCCCGACUUUGAAACUGGCGCUCUUGAGUGGAAGAGAAGUAUGCGGAAUGCGUGGUGUAGCGGUGACAUGCAUAGAUAUCACGCAGAACCCCGAUUGCGAAGGCAGCAUGCCGGCUUCCGACUGACGCUGAAGCACGAAAGCGUGGGGAUCGAACAGGAUUAGAUACCCUUGUAGUC
Molecule: ribosomal RNA, 460 nt
Filed under: uncultured bacterium
Lineage: Bacteria
Description: partial 16S ribosomal RNA
Rfam family: Bacterial small subunit ribosomal RNA
Source: RNAcentral